Molecule: long non-coding RNA, 1959 nt
Organism: Homo sapiens (human)
Lineage: Eukaryota; Metazoa; Chordata; Mammalia; Primates; Hominidae
Source: Ensembl
CCUUAGAUAGGUAACUGUUGCCAGGAAAAUGCCCUGUGUGGAUUGGCCUGGACUAAGCAGGAUCCUCCUCUAAAGAGAGAGAUGAGAUGAAUGCCUGACCCAAGUCUGGGAUCUUGGGUGGGAAGCGUGUGGAUAGUAGGUCAGAGGUCAGCAGUGUCUGUGGUGUAGGAUGUAAUCCCAUCUCCACAGAGCUGCAUACAAGUGUGUUUAAGUGUGUGCAAGUGAUUAACUUUGAUUAGUAGUUUCAACUCUUUACAAUGAACAUAUUUAUCUUUUUUAAAAAAUAAAGCCAUUUUAAAAGAUCUUGCCAUAAAACAAUCAUUCCUUAAGUCACCACUUAGGAUAGACCUAGAAUAUUUGUCCUUUCUCAAGAGCACCAGAGAGUUUUCUGGUAAUCCACGCAAUAAACAGUUAUAAAAGGUAAUUGUUGAGAUCAGGGGAAGAUGGCAGAUAGGAGGCAGUGCUAAUGUGUAGCUCCCACAUGGAUGGACAAAACACCAUGUGGAGACUCACACUGUGACCCUGUUGUGCUCCAAGAACUAUCAUAGGAACAUACUGGGAAAACCAAAAGAAUUCACGGAUCCUUUGAAAGAAGACGCACACCACUGUAAAUUCUGUGGAACAGGAGAAAAACUGUCUUGGAGGAAGGCAUCCUUCUAUUCUACUGAUCAGAAAGCUGGACAAAGUCCCACUGCCAGGCUACACAGUUGGUGCCAUUUGCGGAGGCCCACCCGCAGCGGUCACGUGAAGGACCGAGCGCCGCGCGCCCAGGCGGGGCCUCCGGCCUGCACGAGGAGGGCAGAGUCCGUUGCGGCUGCCGCCCCGACGCCCGCGCAUCCCCGCUCGCCGCGCCCGCCGCCGCGAUGUCCGGGGCCGGCCUAGCCGCGGUGGUGAGCUGCCUGCGCCCGCAGCCCGGCGAGGAGCCGCAGACCCAUGAGACCUUCUGCCAGAAAGUGGGCCUGCUGUGCACGCUUCAGGGUAAGCUGCAGCCCCAGGACUGGACAUUGUUGGACGAACUGCUGCAGGGCCUGCAAACACUGCUGCUCAUGAUUUUGUGGCAGGCUUCCCGUGGCCUCUUCCUGCACUACCACGUGGAGGCCCUAACCCUGCGUCGCAUCAGUAGCUUCCGCCAGUACAAGUAUGACCUGGUGGCAGCGGGCAAGGCUUUGGAGGGCAUGUUCUGCAAGCUCAACCACCUCCUGGAACACCCGCACCAGCUGUUCUUCCUCUACCUGCUCCCCACUCUGUCCCGCUUCGUCUCCAUCGGCCUCUACAUGCCCGCCACCAGCUUCUUGCUCCUGGUCCUUGGUUUCAAGGCUCUGCAACUGUGGAUGCAGCUGCAUGAGGCCGGAGUGGGCCUUGAGGAGCUCAGGGGGGUCCCUGACCCUAGUGUCCCCCCUCCCCCAGCACAGGAUGGUAAGCACACAGGUCCCAGACAGGGGCUGGAUGGCUCUGAAGCUGGUAGCCCUGAUCUACCUAAUACUGCAGCUGGGCUGCAUCGCCCUCACCAACUUCUGACUGGACUUCCUGCUGGCCGCCACUAUGGUGCUGCCGCUGUGCUCGCCGAGCCUUUGGGCCCUGGACCCUCUGUGCUGUCCUGCUGGUGUUGACAAGCCCGGCAGCCACGCUCCUUGGCAGCCCAUUCCUGUGGCGGGAGCUGCAGGAGGCACCACUGUCACUGGCCAAGGGCUGGCAGCUCUUCCUGGCAGCACUGGCCCAGGGUGCGCUGGAGCACCACACCUAAGGCGCCCUGCUCUUCCCACUGCUGUCCCUGGGCCUCUGCCCUUGCUGACUACUUUUCUGGAAUGUGCUCUUCUGGAAGUGAGAUCUGCCUGUCCGGGGCACCAGGCUGGGACAGAGACUCCCCAAGGACCCCAUUCUGCCUCCUUCUGGGGAAAUAAACAAGUGCCUGUUUCAGCUGCUUUAAAAAAAAAUAGAAAAAAAAAAUGCCCUGGAAAA